UACGUAGGGUGCGAGCGUUAAUCGGAAUUACUGGGCGUAAAGCGCGCGCAGGCGGCCAUUCAAGUCAGGGGUGAAAGCCCAGAGCUCAACUCUGGAACUGCCCUUGAAACUGUAUGGCUUGAGUAUGAGAGAGGUGAGUGGAAUUCCCAGUGUAGAGGUGAAAUUCGUAGAUAUUGGGAAGAACACCGGUGGCGAAGGCGGCUCACUGGCUCAUUACUGACGCUCAGGCGCGACAGCGUGGGGAUCAAACAGG
RNAcentral lists this ribosomal RNA (253 nucleotides) under uncultured bacterium. RNAcentral's name for it is "partial 16S ribosomal RNA". It matches the Rfam family "Bacterial small subunit ribosomal RNA", at positions 524 to 776 of the family's 1533-position model. The record is from RNAcentral.